Molecule: ribosomal RNA, 477 nt
Filed under: uncultured bacterium
Lineage: Bacteria
Description: bacterial SSU rRNA
Rfam family: Bacterial small subunit ribosomal RNA
Source: RNAcentral
ACACGCUGGCGGCGUGCCUAACACAUGCAAGUCAACUUGACUGAAGGAGCAAUCUGACAGUAGAGUGGCGCAAGGGUGCGUAACGCGUAAGUAACUUGCCCCAAGGUAAGGAAUAACGUCGAGAAAUCGGCGCUAAUACCUCAUAAUGCAGCGGAUCCGCAUGGAUAUGUUGUUAAAGGUUUACCGCCUUGGGAUAGGCUUGCGUCUGAUUAGCUAGUUGGUGUGGUAACGGCACACCAAGGCUACGAUCAGUAACUGGUCUGAGAGGAUGAUCAGUCACACUGGAACUGAGACACGGUCCAGACUCCUACGGGAGGCAGCAGUGAGGAAUAUUGGGCAAUGCUCGAAAGAGUGACCCAGCAACGCCGCGUGGAGGAUGAAGGUAUUCUAUAUCGUAAACUCCUGUGAGAGCAGACGAAAGACAGAUUAUUAAUCUGGAUGACUGUAUGCUCAGAGGAAGCCCCGGCUAACUACGUG